UCCCUUUUAAGGAUAUUAAGGUUACCACUUCCUCAGGCAAAGUUGACCUUAGGUUGAUUUGGCUAUUCCUUUUAAGGAUACUAAGGUUACCACUUCCUCAGACAAAGUUGACUUUAGGUUGAUUUGGCUAUUCCUUUUAAGGAUAUUAAGGUUACCACUUCCUCAGACAAAGUUGACCUUAGGUUGAUUUGGCUAUUCCUUUUAAGGAUACUAAGGUUACCACUUCCUCAGACAAAGUUGACUUUAGGUUGAUUUGGCUAUUCCUUUUAAUGAUAUUAAGGUUACCACUUCCUCUGGCAAAGUUGACCUUAGGUUGAUUUGGCUAUUCCUUUUAAGGAAACUAAGGUUACCACUUCCUCAGACAAAGUUGACCUUAGGUUGAUUUGGCUAUUCCUUUUAGGGUUACUAGGGUUACCACUUCCUCAGACAAAGUUGACCUUAGGUUGAUUUGGCUAUUCCUUUUAAGGAUACUAAGGUUACCACUUCCUCAGACAAAGUUGACCCUAGGUUGAUUUGGCUAUUCCUUUUAGGGAUACUAAGGUUAUCACUUCU
Molecule: long non-coding RNA, 552 nt
Organism: Mytilus californianus (California mussel)
Lineage: Eukaryota; Metazoa; Mollusca; Bivalvia; Mytilida; Mytilidae
Exons: 5
Source: RefSeq, a predicted model, not a curated record